Molecule: unclassified non-coding RNA, 223 nt
Filed under: plant metagenome
Description: partial contains small subunit ribosomal RNA, internal transcribed spacer 1, and 5.8S ribosomal RNA
Source: RNAcentral
UUUCCGUAGGUGAACCUGCGGAAGGAUCAUUACAGUGUUCUCUGCCCUCACGGGUAGAAACGCCCACCCUUGUAUAUUAUAUCUUUGUUGCUUUGGCAGGCCGCCCUCGGGCACCGGCUCCGGCUGGAUCGCGCCUGCCAGAGGAAACCCAAACUCUGAAUGUUAGUGUCGUCUGAGUACUAUCUAAUAGUUAAAACUUUCAACAACGGAUCUCAUGGUUCUG